RNAcentral lists this transfer RNA (73 nucleotides) under Acropora cervicornis. RNAcentral describes it as "tRNA-Ile". It matches the Rfam family "tRNA". From Rfam's summary of the family: Transfer RNA (tRNA) molecules are approximately 80 nucleotides in length. Their secondary structure includes four short double-helical elements and three loops (D, anti-codon, and T loops). Further hydrogen bonds mediate the characteristic L-shaped molecular structure. tRNAs have two regions of fundamental functional importance: the anti-codon, which is responsible for specific mRNA codon recognition, and the 3' end, to which the tRNAs corresponding amino acid is attached (by aminoacyl-tRNA synthetases). tRNAs cope with the degeneracy of the genetic code in two manners: having more than one tRNA (with a specific anti-codon) for a particular amino acid; and 'wobble' base-pairing, i.e. permitting non-standard base-pairing at the 3rd anti-codon position. The record is from RNAcentral. Lineage: Eukaryota; Metazoa; Cnidaria; Anthozoa; Scleractinia; Acroporidae.
GGCUUCACAGCUCAGUUGGUCGGGGAUCGCACCGAUAUGGCGGAGGUCACAGGUUCAAAUCCUGUUGAAGCCC